This is a non-coding RNA of Salmo salar (Atlantic salmon), 54 nucleotides long. NCBI's taxonomy places the organism in Eukaryota, Metazoa, Chordata, Actinopteri, Salmoniformes, Salmonidae. The record is from Rfam.
AAUGCAUUAACUUGUAUGCCGCUCUGGAUAAGAGCAUCUGCUAAAUGACUAAAA